This 530-nucleotide ribosomal RNA is filed under the name uncultured bacterium. RNAcentral's name for it is "bacterial SSU rRNA". It matches the Rfam family "Bacterial small subunit ribosomal RNA", at positions 777 to 1304 of the family's 1533-position model. The record is from RNAcentral.
AAUAGAUACCCCGGUAGUCCACGCCGUAAACGAUGAGUGCUAAGUGUUAGAGGGUUUCCGCCCUUUAGUGCUGCAGCUAACGCAUUAAGCACUCCGCCUGGGGAGUACGGUCGCAAGACUGAAACUCAAAGGAAUUGACGGGGGCCCGCACAAGCGGUGGAGCAUGUGGUUUAAUUCGAAGCAACGCGAAGAACCUUACCAGGUCUUGACAUCCCACUGACCGGUAUAGAGAUAUACCUUUCCCUUCGGGGACAGUGGUGACAGGUGGUGCAUGGUUGUCGUCAGCUCGUGUCGUGAGAUGUUGGGUUAAGUCCCGCAACGAGCGCAACCCUUGAUCUUAGUUGCCAGCAUUUAGUUGGGCACUCUAAGGUGACUGCCGGUGACAAACCGGAGGAAGGUGGGGAUGACGGUCAAAUCAUCAUGCCCCUUAUGACCUGGGCUACACACGUGCUACAAUGGAUGGUACAAAGGGCUGCAAGACUGCGAAGUCAAGCCAAUCCCAUAAAACCNUUCUCAGUUCGGAUUGCAGG